CUGCAGAAGAAGAGCGGGGAGAACAUCAACAACAAGAUGCAACUGGUGAUGAAGAGCGGCAAGUACACGCUUGGCUACAAGACCGUCCUCAAGACGCUGUGCAUCUCCAAGGGUAUGGAUCUUUUUGUCACUGUUGAUUGA
This 141-nucleotide ribosomal RNA is filed under the name Triticum aestivum (bread wheat). RNAcentral describes it as "partial small subunit ribosomal RNA". Lineage: Eukaryota; Viridiplantae; Streptophyta; Magnoliopsida; Poales; Poaceae. The record is from RNAcentral.